Populus euphratica (Euphrates poplar) is the source of this 1024-nucleotide long non-coding RNA. RefSeq lists it as uncharacterized. The transcript is spliced from 2 exons. The record is from RefSeq and is a predicted model, not a curated record. Lineage: Eukaryota; Viridiplantae; Streptophyta; Magnoliopsida; Malpighiales; Salicaceae.
GGCCCAAAGGGAAAUAAAAGUCCAAGAAAAUGAUUAUAUGUAAUGACUCAAGGAUAGACAGCUAAAGACUGGAGGAGGAGACAUUGGGAAAGCUUUCACUUUCAGCUUUUCUCAGCGGAGAUUGGGCUCUGAAAUCGGUAAGCAAAAACAAGUUGCCAAUAAAACCCUCUUGAGUCUUGGGUUUGAAAACCUCUACUAUUUCUAGUAUUUUAACCAGGCAGCAAAUCCUAUGCAUUUUGACACUCACCACCCUACAUUGACUUGCCUCUUCUUCAAACCCCUAGUAGGCUUCUAAACCAACAACCAAAAAGUUGAUAUGAUAUUAGGACCGGCCCCAAAAAAGAGCAUCAGAAAAGGAGGGUAAUCCCCAUCUCCAGUCACCUCUCACAGCGAUCUCCUGCUUAAAGUACUGCUUCAUCGCCUCCAGCUUUUGAAGGAGAAUCAAAAGACAGCUCUAGUUUAUGUUCGAUUUCCAUGCCAUGAAUUGGGUUACAAGGAAGAAAGGGAUGGGGGUUCUAAGAAGAGAGCUGGCUUGCUUAUAUCUUCUUCUUCUGUUGAUAAUGUCACCGUUAGAGACUCCAUGUUAUGCUGUUGGGUAUGGGAAGUUUAGUAGAUUCAAAGGUGGUUCUAGUUCUGAGCUGAAGAACAAUCCUGCCAAGUCUAAUAAUAUCGGUGGCCUGAAAGGAAACGCAGAUAAAUAUGGUAAUGAAAUUCUUGGUGCUGAGAAGAGGAAAGUCUAUACAGGACCAAAUCCUCUACACAACAGAUAAGUUGUUAAUUAUUACAGCUAGUCGUCACCAAGCUUGAAUUCCGUUUCAUUUAUAAGAUUUUUUGUUCGGUUUUCUUUUCUUCUGCUUUCCUUCCUUCUCUGAACAUUUUGAAGCUUUUGCUGGAAAUCUCCACAGUAAAUGUUUCAAGUAGUCUUACAGAUGUAUAUGAGAGUUUAGGGUAUGAGAUUUUGGUUGAGGACAUGUACUUAUAUUUGUUAAAAUUAUAAAAGAAGAAAUUAAUACUCCUUGCAAAU